UUUUCUUCUCAGCUUCACUCGCAACUACAUUAAGGUAAGAUUUUUCUUUUUUCUUCUUUUUUUGGGUUAUUUUAUUUUAUUUUUAAAUUUUUCUAUUCUUAAUAAUUGUAUGAAUGUUGUUGUAGGAUUUUUUUUCAUAUGUGAUCAAUGUUGUUGUUGUUUUAUUUUUUGUGUUAUUUAUUUGUUGCAAAUUUUUUGAGUUGAUUUUGUUUUUUUUUUUCAAGCAACUCAAUUCUGAGUAUUAUGGAGUGUUGAUUUAUAUUAAUUUAAUUAUUUUCUAGUUUUGUUAAAUAGAUUUUUUUAAAAUAUUUUA
RNAcentral lists this long non-coding RNA (313 nucleotides) under Populus trichocarpa (black cottonwood). Its description in RNAcentral is "long non-coding RNA (PTRI_LNC004009)". Lineage: Eukaryota; Viridiplantae; Streptophyta; Magnoliopsida; Malpighiales; Salicaceae. The record is from RNAcentral.